This 539-nucleotide ribosomal RNA is filed under the name uncultured bacterium. RNAcentral describes it as "bacterial SSU rRNA". It matches the Rfam family "Bacterial small subunit ribosomal RNA", at positions 356 to 896 of the family's 1533-position model. The record is from RNAcentral.
GAGGAAUAUUGGUCAAUGGGCGAGAGCCUGAACCAGCCAAGUAGCGUGCAGGAUGACGGCCCUCCGGGUUGUAAACUGCUUUUAGUUGGGAAUAAAACAGCGGACUUGUCCGCUCUUGUAUGUACCUUCAGAAAAAGGACCGGCUAAUUCCGUGCCAGCAGCCGCGGUAAUACGGAAGGUCCAGGCGUUAUCCGGAUUUAUUGGGUUUAAAGGGAGCGUAGGCGGAUUGUUAAGUCAGCGGUUAAAGGGUGUGGCUCAACCAUGCAUUGCCGUUGAAACUGGCGAUCUUGAGUGCAGACAGGGAUGCCGGAAUUCGUGGUGUAGCGGUGAAAUGCUUAGAUAUCACGAAGAACUCCGAUCGCGAAGGCAGGUGUCCGGGCUGCAACUGACGCUGAGGCUCGAAAGUGUGGGUAUCAAACAGGAUUAGAUACCCUGGUAGUCCACACAGUAAACGAUGUAUACUCGCGGUUUGCGAUAGACAGUAAGCCGCCAAGCGAAAGCAUUAAGUAUACCACCUGGGGAGUACGCCGGCAACGGUG